AUUAGUAGAUAUAAACUUCAAAUUUGAAGAAUUUGGCGGUGGUUUAAUCUUGUCAGAGGAACCUGUUUUUAAAUCGAUAAACCACGUGAAAUCUUACUUGUUUUAUUUAGCUUAUAUACCGUCAUUAUCAGAUAAUUUCUAAAGAGAUAAUCAUCGGAAUUUAUUAAAGAAGAUAAAUUAAAUUAGAUCAAGGUGUAGCCUAUAGGCAAGUUAAAAUGGGUUACAAUAAAACAUAUUUACUAUGAAUUAGUCGAAGAAAAAUAACUAUGAAGGAGGAUUUGAUUGUAAUUUGAGUUCAAUAAGCUUAAAAGAUAUAAGCACUAAACCAU
This 329-nucleotide ribosomal RNA is filed under the name Paractaeopsis quadriareolata. RNAcentral describes it as "partial large subunit ribosomal RNA". Lineage: Eukaryota; Metazoa; Arthropoda; Malacostraca; Decapoda; Xanthidae. The record is from RNAcentral.